UAAGACGUAGGGGGCCAGCGUUGCUCGGAAUUACUGGGCGUAAAGGGUUCGUAGGCGGUGCGGCAAGUCGGAAGUGAAAUCUCCAGGCUUAACUUGGAGGCUGCUCCCGAAACUGCCGUGCUAGAGUGCGGGAGAGGCGAGUGGAAUUGCAGGUGUAGCGGUGAAAUGCGUAGAUAUCUGCAGGAACACCCGUGGCGAAGGCGGCUCGCUGGACCGCAACUGACGCUGAGGAACGAAAGCUAGGGGAGCAAACAGGAUUAGAUACCCUGGUAGUCCUAGCCCUAAACCAUCAGGACUUGGGGUGCAUCCCGUCGGGGUGCGUCCCGUAGCUAACGCGUUAAGUCCUGCGCCUGGGGAGUACGGUCGCAAGGCUG
RNAcentral lists this ribosomal RNA (374 nucleotides) under uncultured bacterium. RNAcentral describes it as "bacterial SSU rRNA". It matches the Rfam family "Bacterial small subunit ribosomal RNA", at positions 521 to 896 of the family's 1533-position model. The record is from RNAcentral.